Molecule: non-coding RNA, 140 nt
Organism: Salvelinus sp. IW2-2015
Lineage: Eukaryota; Metazoa; Chordata; Actinopteri; Salmoniformes; Salmonidae
Source: RefSeq, a predicted model, not a curated record
GGAUACCAGAAGGGUUAGGGUGGGGUACCAGAAGGGUUAGUGGUGGGAUACCAGAAGGGUUAGUGGUGGGGUACCAGAAGUGUUAGUGGUGGGAUACCAGAAGUGUUAGUGGUGGGGUACCAGAAGGGUUAGUGGUGGGG